This is a non-coding RNA of Myodes glareolus (Bank vole), 1750 nucleotides long. The record is from RefSeq and is a predicted model, not a curated record. NCBI's taxonomy places the organism in Eukaryota, Metazoa, Chordata, Mammalia, Rodentia, Cricetidae.
GCAAAAAACCAAAAACAACCUUGCCCAUAGCUUGUUUGUUUAACUGCUGUGCUUCUUUCUGGCCACCAGAGGGAGAUAUUUGGUCAAACAGACUGUGCCCCUGGAAGCUUGCAGCUCCACAGCUUGACAUUAAAUUUUGCUAUCUGCUGUGACCAUCAUUGGUGAAUUGAAUCUUCAUUCACACACAAAAGCUCUCAAACUUCAGGCGAAUUAGAAGCUUCCUCUGUGUGACAUGGUGAAGGAAAAGCGUCAGAAUAAAAUGGAGUAGAUUCUAUUUCCAUGACAGAAAGACCUCAAGCAUGCCAGAAACACAGAGUACAACAGAAUAUUAUGAAUUCCUUUCAACUCUGCUAAAAGAAAAAGGCUGCUUGAUAAGGCCAGCAACUGAGAUCCUGCCUCUGACCACUCGACAUAUAAUGAUAGCGUCUUUGGUUGUGGAAUGAAAUAGAACAAACCGAACUUUGUGAGGAUAGAAGUGAUCUUGAUCUUCUGUUGGUAUGUGAUUGCUAAGGUCAACUAUCUUUCACCAAAGCAGAAGAAGACCAAUACACUUGGGUGGAAAAACAAGAAUGUAGAAAGAAUGUGGAGUAAUGACUACAGAGGAGCUCUGGACUGUUAAUAUACAGAACUGUUAGACUGAAGAGGAGUUAAGUGUCUUGUUUAAACUAUGGUUAUUCUUAGAUCCUAGUUCAGUGGCUCAUUACUACAAUGGGUGAUUCAAAAACACUUUAGGUUUCUAUAGUGUUAGUCAAGUGAUAUAAACAAGACAAGAAACAUACUUUUAAAGAUAUUUAAUGAUCUGUUUUUCAAAUCAGUACAAAAAUUUAAAUACAAAAUUGAUUUGCCAUUAAGUCUCAGAUCUGUUCAUGGAAACUCAAACAAGUUACCAGUCUUCUCAUCAUUCUUUGUUUCUGUAAAAUAUCUGAGGACAAUUAUCCUCUACAGACAUUCUUUACCCCUGUGGGAUGCCACACUACUUUAAAACUCUGUGUUUAAAUAAGAACAAUGCCAGUUUGGUCCAUUUCACAUGGAAAAGCUCUAGUUAAUUUUGAAUUAAAUAGGGAUCAUUAGUGUCCCUAGACUGUAGAACAUAGAGUUGUUUCACCUGCUUUCACACUAAUGUGUUAACAUGAUGUACAGCACUCCAAAGGGAAACACGGGUACAUAGAUAAUUACUUAAAACUCUUCUUUAAAUUAAAUGGAGUAUCAUUUAGCUCUGAUAUUAGCACCAUGGUAGAAUAUACAGUAUCUGGCAUAGAUUUUGCUCCUCCUCCAUUUAAAAGUUUAGAAGCAUAUGCCUGAUAUAUAUGAUAACACACACAUGCACACACACACUCACACACACAUGCACACACACAUAUAGGCAAUUGAGUAACAACCAAUAAAUAAGUUGGAAAAUAUCUCAAAAAGUGAAAUUUGGUUUAACUUAAGAGACAAUUUCUACCUUUCUUUGUGGAGACUAAAAUACCAUACAUGUACAGAUAAGAGCAACUUUAUGAUGCAUCUGGCCCAACUGUCCUUCAAAUCAUCUCAAUGGAGCAUUUAACAGAGAUUCCCAGGGACCCCUGUAACUUCCAGUCAUUAACUACAAGCCAGUGUCCUCAGGAGCAACCCAAAGGACAGCUAUCCACAGAAAUGCUGUUUGCUUUGCAAGUGAAGGCUAGGUAGGACUCCUUUCAGAUGUGAAAGUGCUUUGUACAAUGAACAGUGAAUGAGAAACCUUGUGCUAAUGAACUCAUUUGUCUUAAAA